RNAcentral lists this transfer-messenger RNA (362 nucleotides) under Gammaproteobacteria bacterium. It matches the Rfam family "transfer-messenger RNA". From Rfam's summary of the family: Bacterial tmRNA, also known as 10Sa RNA or SsrA, is named for its dual tRNA and mRNA-like properties. Its role is to liberate the mRNA from a stalled ribosome. To accomplish this part of the tmRNA is used as a reading frame that ends in a translation stop signal. The record is from RNAcentral. Lineage: Bacteria; Pseudomonadati; Pseudomonadota; Gammaproteobacteria.
GGGGGCGACGUGGCUUCGACGUGGGUGGCGAAACCUUCUGGUGCAUGUCGAGGCGCAGAUCACCUCGUUAAUACAGCUGCAAACCAUAUAGUUGCCAACGACGACAACUACGCAUUAGCUGCUUAAUACCAGCGUAAUGCCCUCUGACCGGGACUCGCCUGUAGGUUUCGGAUUCCAGGGGUCGACUCAUACGGGAUCGCGCGACAGUACGCCUUGAACUGAAGCGUUAAAACUUAAAGGCUCGUUUUCCAGAAUCCUGAACGAUUGGAGUCUGGUUAAUAAAAUUAAAAAAUCGUUCUACACAUGUAGAGCCUAAGGCAGAGUGCUUGCGGACGGGAGUUCGAUUCUCCCCGCCUCCACCA